GACGAACGCUGGCGGCGUGCUUAACACAUGCAAGUCGAACGGAAAGGCCCUGCUUUUGUGGGGUGCUCGAUUGGCGAACGGGUGAGUAACACGUGAGUAACCUGCCCUUGACUUUGGGAUAACUUCAGGAAACUGGGGCUAAUACCGGAUAGGAGCUCCUGCUGCAUGGUGGGGGUUGGAAAGUUUCGGCGGUUGGGGAUGGACUCGCGGCUUAUCAGCUUGUUGGUGUGGUAGUGGCUUACCAAGGCUUUGACGGGUAGCCGGCCUGAGAGGGUGACCGGCCACAAUGGGACUGAGAUACGGCCCAGACUCCUACGGGAGGCAGCAGUGGGGAAUAUUGCACAAUGGGCGGAAGCCUGAUGCAGCAACGCCGCGUGCGGGAUGACGGCCUUCGGGUUGUAAACCGCUUUCGCCUGUGACGAAGCGUGAGUGACGGUAAUGGGUAAAGAAGCACCGGCUAACUACGUG
Molecule: ribosomal RNA, 468 nt
Filed under: uncultured bacterium
Lineage: Bacteria
Description: partial 16S ribosomal RNA
Rfam family: Bacterial small subunit ribosomal RNA
Source: RNAcentral